Molecule: ribosomal RNA, 585 nt
Filed under: uncultured bacterium
Lineage: Bacteria
Description: bacterial SSU rRNA
Rfam family: Bacterial small subunit ribosomal RNA
Source: RNAcentral
CCUACGGGAGGCAGCAGUGGGGAAUUUUGGACAAUGGGGGCAACCCUGAUCCAGCCAUUCCGCGUGAGUGAAGAAGGCCUUCGGGUUGUAAAGCUCUUUUGUCGGGGACGAAACGGUUACGAUUAAUACUCGUGACAACUGACGGUACCCGAAGAAUAAGCACCGGCUAACUACGUGCCAGCAGCCGCGGUAAUACGUAGGGUGCGAGCGUUAAUCGGAAUUACUGGGCGUAAAGCGUGCGCAGGCGGUUUUGUAAGCCAGAUGUGAAAUCCCCGGGCUUAACCUGGGAAUGGCAUUUGGGACUGCAAGGCUAGAGUAUGGCAGAGGAGACUAGAAUUCCUGGUGUAGCAGUGAAAUGCGUAGAUAUCAGGAGGAAUACCGAUGGCGAAGGCAGGUCUCUGGGUCAAUACUGACGCUCAUGCACGAAAGCGUGGGGAGCAAACAGGAUUAGAUACCCUGGUAGUCCACGCCCUAAACGAUGUCAACUGGUUGUUGGGAGAUUUAUUCUCUUAGUAACGAAGCUAACGCGUGAAGUUGACCGCCUGGGGAGUACGGUCGCAAGNUUAAAACUUAAGGAAUUGACGG